CAGCUUUUAUUGCUAUUGCUAGCUAAUAUUGGAUGGAAUAAGUGUCAGGAUGAAGCUGAAACAAGAGUCAAAAUUUCACUAUUAUCUAAACAUAAGAGCCACCACAACAAUAACAAAAGCAAAAAAAAAUUGAAGCAGAGCCUCACCUUAAAUCAUUAGGAGUUUAGGACGAUAGCAAUCGAAGUGGGGGCUUUAGGAGUUCAUGCCAAUGAGAGAUCCACGACGUCACUUUUGUCGAUAGAGAUUGUAGAAGAUGGAGAU
RNAcentral lists this long non-coding RNA (261 nucleotides) under Citrus maxima (pomelo). Its description in RNAcentral is "long non-coding RNA (CMAX_LNC002358)". Lineage: Eukaryota; Viridiplantae; Streptophyta; Magnoliopsida; Sapindales; Rutaceae. The record is from RNAcentral.